This is a microRNA precursor of Oryza rufipogon (brownbeard rice), 224 nucleotides long. It matches the Rfam family "MIR812 microRNA precursor family". The record is from Rfam. Lineage: Eukaryota; Viridiplantae; Streptophyta; Magnoliopsida; Poales; Poaceae.
AAAAAGACAAACCCUGGUUUCAGUGUACAAUGUAUGACCGUCCGUCUUAUUUGAAAAAAAUAUAAAAAAAAUUAAAAAGAUAAGUCACGCAUAAAGUAUUAAUUAUGUUUUAUCAUCUAACAACAAUGAAAAUACUAAUUAUAAAAAAAUUUCAUAUAAGACGGACAGUUUUUCAUAUAACGGACAGUUAAACGUUGGCACGGAAACCCAGGGUUUGACUUUUU